Molecule: long non-coding RNA, 1354 nt
Filed under: Canis lupus familiaris (dog)
Lineage: Eukaryota; Metazoa; Chordata; Mammalia; Carnivora; Canidae
Description: lncRNA (ENSCAFG00030005233.1)
Source: RNAcentral
CUAUCUUUUGUUCUUAAUAUUCUAUCUUAAUUUAUAAUUUCCCAGACCCUGAUUUUUUACUUGUUUAUUUUUAAGUGAAAGUAAUCUUGAGAGCUAUUCCAAAUAAUCUGUGGGACAAAGCUUGUUGUAAAUAAAAUAGAUAACACAGUAUUUAUAAGAAAUUAAAUACAUUUUAUUCUUGCCUUUUUAUCUCAUUUUUGUUUGGUUUAAUGUGAUUUGAUAUGAUGAAUUAUUAAUGUGUUAGUUACAAAAAAGAUUUGUACACUGGAAAAGUAGGAAGUAGGAUUUGUUAGAAAGACAGAAACACUAUUAAGUCAUAAUGUCCAAUCAAUGGGAUGAGUAAAAUUUUGGUAAUGUAGUGCUAUUUCAAAGUUAUUUAUGGGAUUAUAUAGUUGGUUACUUUUGUAUUUUGUUUCUCUUGGACAUUAAAAGUGUUUUUUCUGGCUAUGUAGCAUGUUAUUUCUUGUUAAUAUAAUCACCUCUGUAAAUUAAUCUCUCUCUUUCUUAGGGGAAAUGAAACUUCCAGCUAAGAUCUCCAGAAUAAACUUUGAUGAAUCAUGAAGAAAGGAUAAAUCAUGAGGAAGGGACCUUUAUAUUUCUUACCAGCUCUGAAUGGUGGUGCUGGUGGUCCAGAAGUUUUUGGCUUCUCUAACCACAGCUGACUGCUGCUAAGUUUAAAGAAAAACCAGAAGUAAUAUAGUACCCAAGUUAAGAGCUAGACUGGAUUGGAAUACUCCUUUAUGAACAAUGAGCUGUAUGGCCUUGGGUAAGUCACUUUACCUUCCUAUGCCUCAGUUCCCUCAUCCAUUAAAUGGGACUAUAAUAGUAGCAGUCUCUUAGGCUUGGGGUGAAUAUUAAAUAUAAAUGAAAAGAGAAUCAAAUGUAUAAAUUAAAUGAUAAUAUGUAAGACACUUAGAACAACACAAGGCACUUUGUAAAUGCUAUGUAUUUGCUCUUAUCGUUAACACAUUUUGAAGUUUAUAUAUUUGACAGAUUAUUUUACGUGCUAUAUCAUUGCUCAAUUCAACUGCUGUAACAUAUACUAUUGUCUACAUAUGCCAUAAUAUAUUUAUUUUAUCCUCUUGUUGAUGGAUAAUUGCUUCUUCCAACGACAAGUACAAACAAUAAGAAGAUGAACACUUUUGCACUCAUUGCCUGAAUAUGAUCUACAAAAAUAUCGCAAGAUAAAUACUCAGAAGAAUUCCUGGCUUAUAGGGUAUGCACACCAACAGAUUUACUUGAUAUUGCCAAAUUGCUCUCCAAGCAGUUGGGCCAAUUCAUGCUCCUAAUGUCAGUGUGUGAGAAUUUCCAUUGCUCUACAUCCAUGCCAACUCUAGCAUCUUUACCAAUCUGG